RNAcentral lists this ribosomal RNA (470 nucleotides) under Tropidonophis statisticus. Its description in RNAcentral is "partial large subunit ribosomal RNA". It matches the Rfam family "Bacterial large subunit ribosomal RNA", at positions 1853 to 2597 of the family's 2925-position model. The record is from RNAcentral. Lineage: Eukaryota; Metazoa; Chordata; Lepidosauria; Squamata; Natricidae.
CAACGCCUGCCCAGUGAACAAUUAAACGGCCGCGGUACCCUAACCGUGCAAAGGUAGCAUAAUCAUUUGUCUAUUAACUGUAGACCUGUAUGAAAGGCAAAAUGAGGGUUUAACUGUCUCUUAUAGUAAAUCUAUUAAACUGAUCUCCCAGUAAAAAAGCUGGAAUACCACCAUAAGACCAGAAGACCCUGUGAAGCUUUAACAAAACUAUUAAAUCCAAUAAUAGCUACUUUAGGUUGGGGCGACCUUGGAAACAAAUAGAACUUCCAAACAAACACACUAACACAGGCUAACAUGCCAAUAAAUGACCCAGUAAAACUGAUAACUGAACAAAGUUACUCCAGGGAUAACAGCGCUAUCUUCUUCAAGAGCCCAUAUCAAAAAGAAGGUUUACGACCUCGAUGUUGGAUCAGGACAUCCUAAUGGUGCAACCGCUAUUAAGGGUUCGUUUGUUCAACGAUUAAUGUCCU